This 2644-nucleotide long non-coding RNA is filed under the name Sus scrofa (pig). RNAcentral's name for it is "lncRNA (ENSSSCG00030057859.1, ENSSSCG00060021910.1)". Lineage: Eukaryota; Metazoa; Chordata; Mammalia; Artiodactyla; Suidae. The record is from RNAcentral.
AGAUUGCAAAAUGGCGAGGGGGGAGGUGACACCAAGCUCGAUCAGAAACUAUGCCACUGGUGAAGAGGUAUAUUGAGCCCUGCGUGGCCCAGUGAGGUUACUAGAGAAUUGGAAGAGUCUCAAAUCAGCAUCCUGCACAUGGUUAUCAAACCAUUGUGAAGUCUUAGUAAGUGGUCAGUGGCUCUGGUGGGCUUGCCCAGUUAGUGUCUUAACAGGCACUAGGCAGUUACUUGAUAUUUUCCCAUUAUGAUAUGAAAAGUUUUUUGUUUUUUGUUUUUUUAGGGCUGUACCCGUGGCAUAUGGAGGUUCCCAGGCUAGGGUUCAAAUUGGAGCUGUAGCUAUAUGCAGGCCUACACCACCCACAGCUAUAGCAACUUGGGAUCCGAGCUGCGUCUGCAACCUACGCCACAGCUCACGAGAGUGCUGGAUCCUUAACCCACUGAGUGAGGCCAGGGAUUGAACCUGUGUCCUCAUGGAUACUAGUUGUGUUCUUAACCCACUGAGCCACAAUGGGAACUCCAAAAAACAGUCUUUAUUUCAGACUAGAGAGUGAUGAGCCUAAUCUCUCUCUUUCCCCGUCUCCCAUUUUUGCAGAUGAUAUCUUGCCCACCAUAAUAGUUGGUGUAGAAAAUGGAUUUGAAUCCAAGCCCAAUAUUGUUUCUUCCACCUAGUGCUUCCUCUAGAUUCCACCUAAGUCCAAGGAGGCGAUGUGAGACAGAAACAUUUUUAUUCCACAUGGAAAGAUUAUAAUAGCCUCUGACAUUGUGCUCCUCUGAUGAAGGAAAUGUCCAUGGUAUAAAUUUUUAUUGUGCAUAAAAUCACCUGGGAAGCUUGUUAAAAAUGCAGAUUCCUAGGCAGCUAGAAGCCUUGUCAUUGGUCCAGAGCAACAUGAAGACCUACUUGUCACUUACACUGAGGCUUCCUGCCCAGUGGGUUCACCAGCAAGCCAGAAGGAAGCAUCACUGCCAUGGAUGUCCUUGUGAGGCAGUUGUGAAGCCUUGGUCUUCAGCUUCCAUUUGACUUUCCAUCUUGUCCACUGAGGAUAGCAGAGUUAAGUCAGGAAAAGAAAAUGGUUGUCCACAGAGGGAGAACUGAUCACUGUCUGAUCUUCAAAGAUGCUUUUCUGGCCGUGGUUGGGGCUCUUAGUGCUCACUGCCUGGACAGAGACCUGUUUCAACAGGGAGAGCUUUAGAAACAACUUGUCAAGUUUUCACCACAAAUACCAUUGGAGUUACAAUUGGAGUCUCACUGAAUUAUAGAGUAAUUUUUGGAGAGCUAUCAUCUUUAUAAUCUUCUCAUACAUGAAUGUGGAGUUGCUGGUAGAAGACUUCAUGAAGGAGAGAAGAAAAGGAAAAAAUCAGAGGAUGACUACAGCCUCCUUCAUCUCAGCUUUUCAAAGCAUUACUCAACAGAGGGAUCACUCUCUUGAAUACUCUCCAGACCACAGGCCAUCAGUCUAUUACAGGCUCUAACUGGGAGGAGCCUUAUUGUGAAUGAAGCUUCGGUGGGUGCUAGGAGUAACACCGUGUUUCUCUGGAUAUGAGAAGAAUGGAGGGCAGAGAGCAAGGGAAGGAAGCUAUGAAAUAUUGGAGUAACAAAUGCUUGACGUUUUAGUGGGUAUUGGACCUAGAAGCCUAUAUGAUUGAAGGAAGCAAACCUGGAGAGGUCUGAUGUUUGUGAGUGAAGAUAGGAGUGAACUCCUUAUUGCAAUUAAAAAUGGAGUGAGGGGGAGGAAAAAAAUGACAGAAAUCAUAAGAUCCAUUACUUCAGUGAAGGAAGCACUGAGACUUGCUUCAUAAACCUGUAAUUUUUAAAGGUAGAUUGAAGAUAAGUUGUUGUGCUGCACUAUUUCUAUUCCUACCCGUGAGAGUUACUGCCAGCCACUCUUCUCAGGUAGAUCUGCCUUUAUGGAAAUUUCUGUUGACCCACGUAAAGAAACAACCCAGAAAAACAUUUGCAACAUUGAAGAACUCUGGUUCAGUGACAGGGUGUUAAAGGAGUCGAGGAUAGAGGAAAUAGCUCAAGUAGUACCAAAUAGCUCAGGUUGUUUUUUUUUUUUUCUUUUUAAUAGGAUGAUUGGGCCAGAGACAGUGGGCAGAAUGACUUCAGGCAACCCCAAACACCAGAUAUGGCAUAAGGAAACAGUUCAAGGAAAAGGUCAAUCCUUGGACCUAGUAUUUGUGAUGCAAUAUCUUAAAUUAAAAGGAAGAGCUGCUUUGGAGAAGGGUUUUAAAAGAUUGUAUUUCAUAGAAAGAAGAAAGAUUUGAGGAGAAACUUCCAAUUAUAUAAGAUGGGCAUUAUAACUUUUAAAGACAUCUGUUGCCUGCAUGGGUCAUAGAGAUUGAUACCAGUAUCAGCCUGUGGCUGACUAGGCCAGUUUAAGUGGUUUCCUGUUCGAAGAGAGAUGCUGCCAUUCUCUCACUUUGGCAGGUAUUCACCUGCAAUGAGUCCAGUACCUGGAGGAGCAAGAAAAAAACAAGCAUCCAGGGGGACAAUAGUAUAGCCUUCUGAGUUAAGAUAGCAACUGAAAAGAUCAUGGGAUUGGCUGCACUGGGCUGGGCUUGUUUGUUUUUUCAAAAUAAAAAAGUUUUCUUUUUGAUGACAAAAGUAAGAGAUGAUCAUUCUUUAAAAAUAAAGUGAAAAG